UUGUUGUAGGAGUAGAAAUAAAGGGAUAUCACAUAUAUGUAAAAGUUAUUUUUCUUCAAUGAUAUAGGUUCAGUGAUUAUCUCCACUAACCUGUUUAUUUUGUGGAUAUUAUAUAUACCUUACAGGAGACAGAUUGGAGGCUGACUAAUGAUGAUGAUUUUGAAGUAUCUUUGUUUCCAUAUUGGUCUUUAUGUGCAUGUUUUCUCUCUUUUAUUGCAGUGUAAUGAUUCUGUUCUUGAAAUCUGAGAUUAUUAACAACCUUUUGAUUGUGAAUCUUAAGAUCAUCUCAUUGAGUCAUAUUUUGUCUCUAUUUUUACAUGUUUCAGAUCUAGAUUAUCUGUUUAUAACAGUGUGUAAUGAAGUCUAAAUUAUUAACUACUGAUUUGAACUUAACUUCUCUUUCUUUUCCCUUAUUAUGCAAGCUUUUGUGUGGUAACCUUUUUAUAGUUUCCAGUUAAAUGUUUUUCCUUUUCGAGUUCUUUCUGUGUUGCUCAUAUAUGUUUGUAGACUAUUUUCACGUGUUUAGGUUAUUAAUUAUCUUUAUUUUGUUGGCUAAGCUUUUAAUGUAUUCUGUUGUUGUUUAAAAGAUAAAGGGACAUCAGUGUCACUUGUAGUUUUUACUAGUUUCCAGUUAAAUGCUUAUAUGAAUCAUGAGUAGUGUGGUCAGGAAUUUCUUUCUUUGAUGCUAUGGUUUUUUUUCCAACUGAUUGUGUGUUCUACACUAUUUAAUUAGUACCAUAUUCAUGCUAUGGAAUGUAUAUUUAGUGUUUCUUUUUGGCUUAAUGGGUUAAGCACUUAAUCUGGAGAGCUAUAUGACUGUUUCUAUUUUGAAUCUUAUGAUGACUAAAUGUUUUUUACUCAUAUUUAGUUCUCAUCAAGUCUUCAUUCAGACCCUCGAUUCAUAGCAGUGAGUGUAGAUUGUGUGCCUUUUGAAUAUUAAUAUUAAGAGCAUCACAUUCUUUUUCUACAGUUCCUAUGGUGGCAACAAAUGCAUGUAUGGAUCCAAAGAUUCAAUUCUUUGUUUAUCAUAUGUUGUUUUUCAUCUGUCACUUGUCUUGUUCUUGGUUCUUCUUUGAUGGGUUUAUUUGAAGGGUUUUGAUUUUUGAAUGACAGAGGUUCCUUAUACAAUUCUUUCCAACUUGAAAAUUAAGGUCAUUGAGUUUCUUGGUUAUCGGGUUCUUUUUUUUUUCGUCAUGUUCUUCAUUUUAUACAGAGAUAUCAGUAUGGCUUAUAUAACAAAUAUUUUUCUUUAAUGAUUAUCUCCAUUAACUUGUUUAUUUUGUGGAUAUAUACCUUACAGGAUAACUAAUGAUGAUGAUUUUGAAGUAUCAUCUUUUCUAUAAUGGUCUUUAUGUGUUUCCUUUUUUAUUUUUUUGGUUUCUGGUUGAAAGUUGGGGAGUUCUCUUCCAUUUUGGUGAGAUGUUUUCUCAAUGUGGAUAUUCCAUUCAAGUAGGUGUCUGAUUUCAGCUCUUUCUUUCUCUCUUUUAUUGCAGUGCAAUGAUCCUGUUCUUAGAAUCUAAGAUCCUCUCAUCUUUUUUUUUUUCUUUUUUUUUUCUAUAGUUGCUAUGAUGACACCAAAUGUACAUCUGUUUACUUAGAUUCAGUUCUUUUCAAUUCUUGCAUGCUGGUAAAUUACAAUUGAGUUAGGUUGUCCUUUCUUAUUAGUAAGUAACCUUUUGAUUUGACCUUAAAUUCACUUGUUUCCCUUCUUUUUUGGGUCUCUUUAUAAGGUUUUAUGUGCUCACCUUUUUUUUUUUUUUUUGCAGUUGCUAUAGAGGCCCCACCCAAAGUCAAUGGAUGUUUACUCAGAAUCCAUUCCUGUGAUGGUGGCUAUUUGCAGGAAGGACAUUAUGUUCAAAACAACUCGACUAAUAGCCUGAAUAUGAUGUCCCUCUUGUAGACUAUUUUCAUGUGUUUAGGUACCACUUUCAGUUGUGAUGAUGCAUGGUGACACAAAAUGCAUGAGACAGAUGGGAGUCUGACUAAAUCUAAUGAAUUUAAAGCAUCUUCUUUUCUAUAAUGGUCUUAAUUUGUUUUGCUUUUUUGGGUUUCUGGUUGAAAGUUGUGGAGCACAAGCAUGAGACUUCUCCUUCCAUUAUGGUUAUUUGUAAGCUUCUCAUGAAAAAUAAUUUGAUAGGAGCAACACACUGGGGAGCACAUGUUAUUAUGUAUAUAGCAAAAAUGCAAGGUUCAUUUAUAUGUUUCUUUGUGAUUAUUAAUUCAGUAAUGCUCAAUGAUCAAAAUGAUUGGUUUCAUUUGUGCAGAAAGUUCAAAAUCAGGGAUUCCUAUCCUAUCCUCCAAAGCAUGUUGAGAGAAACACUUCUUUUUUCCUUCACUGAAGAUGAAGGAAACACUUGUUUAUCUUAUGAUAAAUGCAAUAAAUGACAAUGUACUUUCAUUGAUUUGUUUAUUAUAGCAUCAUUCUUCCUAUUACAACAUGGCACUUUGAAAUACUUACCCAGUUAU
Non-coding RNA from Lactuca sativa (garden lettuce), 2466 nucleotides. The record is from RefSeq and is a predicted model, not a curated record. Lineage: Eukaryota; Viridiplantae; Streptophyta; Magnoliopsida; Asterales; Asteraceae.